Molecule: long non-coding RNA, 238 nt
Filed under: Citrus sinensis (sweet orange)
Lineage: Eukaryota; Viridiplantae; Streptophyta; Magnoliopsida; Sapindales; Rutaceae
Description: long non-coding RNA (CSIN_LNC003254)
Source: RNAcentral
AAAAAGAAAAAAGAAACAAAGAACCAUAGUCAUAGAACAGCACGUGAGGGCUAUCGAAUGGUGCUUAAAGCACUCAAGAGUCAAGAUCUAAGCCAAGUGGUGGUCAAAGCACUCAAGAGCCAAGACCUUGAGUGCUUGCUUUUUGCAAUCAGAUGAUGAUUUUGCAGGAUGUAUAAGACGCUUUUGCAAUCAGUACUGGCUUGGAGUGUUUGCUGGGGGGUGUUUGCUUUUUGCAGCC